AAAGAGUUCCUAAAAUUAGAGGGGGAAUGAAGCCAGAAAUAGAUAGACAGUGUAGAUAGGUAAAUCGAGUAAGGAGGCCAAUUUUGAGUGAGUCUGGAAAGUUGAAAACUGUCCCCGGAGGGUUACUGUUUACUCUAAAAUUACCCUAGUGUCAACCUUAGUAGGACCACUUGUGAACAAGCUAAUGGCUUUCAUCAAGGACAGAGUAAACACAGUUCAGAUGUUGGUUCUGCAUACACACUAUCAAGUCCUAGACCCAGAAGGAGAAUCCUACCAAGUGUAGGGCCUGCCCAUAUAGACCUCCAACUGAGGGAACCAUGAUUGGUUCUCUAGUUUCUAGACAAAGGGGGGAAUGAGAAACUAAUGUGACUCCAUUUUUAAAAAUA
RNAcentral lists this long non-coding RNA (386 nucleotides) under Marmota monax (woodchuck). Lineage: Eukaryota; Metazoa; Chordata; Mammalia; Rodentia; Sciuridae. The record is from RNAcentral.